GAGGUUUUCUUUGGUCAGCUUACCUUUGCUUGGUUUGGGUGAGGUUUACUUUUGUCAGCCUACCUUUGCUUGGUUUCAGUGAGGUUUUCUUUGGUCAGCUUCUUUGCUUGGUUUAGGUGAGGUUUUCUUUGGUGAUUUUGUUUCUGAGGGUUUUUU
Molecule: long non-coding RNA, 156 nt
Organism: Mytilus californianus (California mussel)
Lineage: Eukaryota; Metazoa; Mollusca; Bivalvia; Mytilida; Mytilidae
Exons: 3
Source: RefSeq, a predicted model, not a curated record